GAUCAGCGACGCCGCGUGAGUGAGAGUAUUUCGGUAUGUAAAGCUCUAUCAGCAGGGAAGAAAAUGACGGUACCUGACUAAGAAGCCCCGGCUAACUACGUGCCAGCAGCCGCGGUAAUACGUAGGGGGCAAGCGUUAUCCGGAUUUACUGGGUGUAAAGGGAGCGCAGACGGCAAUGCAAGUCUGAAGUGAAAGGCGUGGGCUCAACCCAUGAACUGCUUUGGAAACUGUAUAGCUUGAGUGUCGGAGGGGUAAGCGGAAUUCCUAGUGUAGCGGUGAAAUGCGUAGAUAUUAGGAGGAACACCGGAGGCGAAGGCGGCUUACUGGACGACAACUGACGUUGAGGCUCGAAGGCGUGGGGAGCAAACA
RNAcentral lists this ribosomal RNA (369 nucleotides) under Lachnoanaerobaculum umeaense. RNAcentral describes it as "bacterial SSU rRNA". It matches the Rfam family "Bacterial small subunit ribosomal RNA", at positions 385 to 774 of the family's 1533-position model. Lineage: Bacteria; Bacillati; Bacillota; Clostridia; Lachnospirales; Lachnospiraceae. The record is from RNAcentral.